UAAAUCAAGAUGAAGUCCAUGCCAAG
This 26-nucleotide non-coding RNA is filed under the name Rattus norvegicus (Norway rat). Lineage: Eukaryota; Metazoa; Chordata; Mammalia; Rodentia; Muridae. The record is from RNAcentral.